AUACGUAGGAAGCGAGCGUUAUCCGAAUUUACUGGGCGUAAAGUGGGCGUAGGCGGCCUUUCAAGUUGGAUGUGAAAUCUCCUGGCUUAACUGGGAGGGGUCAUCCAAUACUGCUAGGCUUGAGGACAGCAGGAGAAAGUGGAAUUCCCGGUGUAGUGGUGAAAUGCGUAGAUAUCGGGAGGAACACCAGUGGCGAAGGCGGCUUUCUAGGCUGUUUCUGACGCUGAGGCCCUAAAGUGUGGGGAGCGAACAGGAUUAGAUACCCUGGUAGUCCACACCUUAAACUAUGGAUACUUGGUAUAGGGAGUUUCGACCCUCUCUGUGCCGAAGCUAACGCUUUAAGUAUCCCGCCUGGGAACUACGGCCGCAAGGCUAAA
Molecule: ribosomal RNA, 377 nt
Filed under: uncultured bacterium
Lineage: Bacteria
Description: bacterial SSU rRNA
Rfam family: Bacterial small subunit ribosomal RNA
Source: RNAcentral